CCUGGUCUCGCGAAUGCCNUAGGACUUAAGUUGAUCAUGGCUCAGAGCNGAACGCUGUUAGGUAGGCCUAACACAUGCAAGUCGAACGGCAGCACAGGAGAGCUUGCUCUCUGGGUGGCAGAGUGGCGGACGGGUGAGGAAUACAUACGGAAUCUACUCUGUCGUGGGGGAUAACGUAGGGAAACUUACGCUAAUACCGCAUACGACCUACGGGUGAAAGCAGGGGACCUUCGGGCCUUGCGCGAUUGAAUGAGCCGAUGUCGGAUUAGACUAGUUAGGCGGGGUAAAGGCCCACCAAGGCGACGAUCCGUAGACUGGUCUGA
RNAcentral lists this ribosomal RNA (323 nucleotides) under uncultured bacterium. RNAcentral describes it as "partial 16S ribosomal RNA". It matches the Rfam family "Bacterial small subunit ribosomal RNA", at positions 1 to 295 of the family's 1533-position model. The record is from RNAcentral.